CCCGGGCCUUGUACACACCGCCCGUCACACCAUGGGAGUUGGUUUUACCUUAAGACGGUGUGCUAACCCGCAAGGGAGGCAGCCGGCCACGGUAAGGUCAGCGACUGGGGUG
This 112-nucleotide ribosomal RNA is filed under the name uncultured bacterium. Its description in RNAcentral is "partial 16S ribosomal RNA". It matches the Rfam family "Bacterial small subunit ribosomal RNA", at positions 1373 to 1482 of the family's 1533-position model. The record is from RNAcentral.